This 714-nucleotide ribosomal RNA is filed under the name Triticum aestivum (bread wheat). Its description in RNAcentral is "partial small subunit ribosomal RNA". The record is from RNAcentral. Lineage: Eukaryota; Viridiplantae; Streptophyta; Magnoliopsida; Poales; Poaceae.
AUGGAUCUCGAGCAGCGGCGGCCGAUGCGCGCAUGCGGCGGUGCUUGGCUGGGGGCCGCGGUGGCCUUCCCUCGCGCGCCGGUGUCUCCAUCGACGCCGCUGGAGGCUGGCUGCUGCUGCUGGGGGCGGUGGGCGGUGCUCGCGGUGGGCGGAAGCCGGGGCGGCGGCCUCGGAGCUUGGGCGUCUGCUGGGCGACGCAGCGGGGCUGGCUACGAACAGUUGCGCGGUGAAUCAAGGGAUUCGGUGCUCUGUUCCGGAGUUGGCAGAGGAUGCGCCUUGGUCAGGCGCGGGCGGCGGCUUGGCCGCGAGGGGCGUGGCUCGUGUGUGUUUGCGUUGUGCGGAUCUGUGGUGGCGAGGACGCCAAUGGUGGAGCUGGCGUCGAUCUGGCGUCGCGAGGAUCCUGGGAUGAAGCUGCUGCAGAUCUGUGGAGGUGCACAGCAUGGGCGCGCGGAGGGCCCGGGCAGCGCCGUCGGCGUGGCUCGGAGGCCCGUGGUGCGUGGAGGUUCGGGCGUGGCGGAUCCGGUCUCCAGCGGAUGCGACGGUGUGCGUGGUGCCCGCCUGGUCGGCGUGCUCCUGCUGCUUCGAUGGGCGGUCAGUGCGGAUUUGAGGCGAGGCAAGGAUGCCGGGGCGGCGGCCCCGGAGCGAUGGCUGCAUCGGCAUGGGCUGCUGCGGCGGCUGGGGACGGUGGAUUUGGGGCGAUGCUCGCGGAUCUGA